This 148-nucleotide non-coding RNA is filed under the name Pan troglodytes (chimpanzee). Lineage: Eukaryota; Metazoa; Chordata; Mammalia; Primates; Hominidae. The record is from Rfam by way of RNAcentral.
GCUGGGCGUGGUGGCGGGCGCCUGUAGUCCCAGCUACUCGGGAGGCUGAGACAGGAGAAUCGCUUGAACCUGGGAGGUGGAGUUUGCAGUGAGCCAAGAUCAUGCCACUGCACUCCAGCCUGGGUGACAGAGCAAGACCCUGUCUCAA